Molecule: long non-coding RNA, 869 nt
Organism: Siniperca chuatsi (mandarin fish)
Lineage: Eukaryota; Metazoa; Chordata; Actinopteri; Centrarchiformes; Sinipercidae
Exons: 2
Source: RefSeq, a predicted model, not a curated record
AGCUUUUUUAUGGCAGACAUUUUUUUUGACAUGUCAUUGCUGGAACAGCACAGGUUGAAUUAAUAUCAUUAAUGAUGGCAGCAUUCCAUUUAGGUAUUGAAGUUCUAGAACACAGGUAGUGUGCGUGCUGACUCAGCGGCAUGGCUUAUUGAGAGACUUAAAUGGAACUGAGCCAUCAUUAACAUUAUUGGUUCCACCUGUGCUUUACCUAUGUCAAAGUCAAAAUGUCUGUUGUAAAAAAAGGGGCCAUGAGUACAAAUCAAAACAAUUUCUGAGAUUUUUGGUGCACAUGGAUUGUUUUCUACUCUGCUGCAGAUAAAAGCAAAGGUAGUUUGAAUGGGUCAACACAGUGCCUAAAUCUGUUACAAAAGAUAAGCAGAGAAACAACAAAUGACAACAGACACAAGAGAACAGCUGACUACUGAGGGGAAAGUACAAGCAGAAACAGCCACAGUGAGCUGGUGGAUGAAGAGAUGCAGAUGAUGGGCUUACUGUGGUGUGUGUGAACAAGCACAUCUCCAACACGUCAUCAAGAUAAACAACACCUUUUACCUGCUAUCUUGUGUAAACCACUGGCACUGUGCCAACAUGGCUUGAAUGGUUGCAGAUGCUCAUGGCUCGGUUCAGUGCAAAUAUUCCCACACAUGUAUUGAAAAAUGGUAAAAUGUUGUUGGCAUUUUUUAAACAAUGACCACAUUCUUUCCCUAUUUUUAACCGUACUUUGUCUCUACAUUAACCAUAGUUAAUUUGCCAUUACCACAAGCCUUAACCAAGUUUUAGUUGAUGAACCUUAGCUAAACACAUUGUAGUUGCCAUGUAUGGAUAUUGUAGGAAUAAAUAAUUUGAAUAAAUAAUGAUGUAAUUUGGAA